GAUGAACGCUGGCGGCGUGCCUAAUACAUGCAAGUCGAGCGAACGGACGAGAAGCUUGCUUCUCUGAUGUUAGCGGCGGACGGGUGAGUAACACGUGGAUAACCUACCUAUAAGACUGGGAUAACUUCGGGAAACCGGAGCUAAUACCGGAUAAUAUUUUGAACCGCAUGGUUCAAAAGUGAAAGACGGUCUUGCUGUCACUUAUAGAUGGAUCCGCGCUGCAUUAGCUAGUUGGUAAGGUAACGGCUUACCAAGGCAACGAUGCAUAGCCGACCUGAGAGGGUGAUCGGCCACACUGGAACUGAGACACGGUCCAGACUCCUACGGGAGGCAGCAGUAGGGAAUCUUCCGCAAAGGGCGAAAGCCUGACGGAGCAACGCCGCGUGAGUGAUGAAGGUCUUCGGAUCGUAAAACUCUGUUAUUAGGGAAGAACAUAUGUGUAAGUAACUGUGCACAUCUUGACUGUACCUAAUCAGAAAGCCACGGCUAACUACGUG
Molecule: ribosomal RNA, 497 nt
Filed under: uncultured bacterium
Lineage: Bacteria
Description: partial 16S ribosomal RNA
Rfam family: Bacterial small subunit ribosomal RNA
Source: RNAcentral